This 401-nucleotide ribosomal RNA is filed under the name uncultured bacterium. RNAcentral describes it as "bacterial SSU rRNA". It matches the Rfam family "Bacterial small subunit ribosomal RNA", at positions 30 to 430 of the family's 1533-position model. The record is from RNAcentral.
AUUGAAUGCUGGCGGCAUGCCUUACACAUGCAAGUCGAACGGCAGCACGGACUUCGGUCUGGUGGCGAGUGGCGAACGGGUGAGUAACAUAUCGGAACAUACCCUAGAGUGGGGGAUAACGUAGCGAAAGUUACGCUAAUACCGCAUACGAUCUAAGGAUGAAAGUGGGGGAUCUUCGGACCUCAUGCUCAUGGAGUGGCCGAUAUCUGAUUAGCUAGUUGGUGAGGUAAAGGCUCACCAAGGCGACGAUCAGUAGCUGGUUUGAGAGAACGACCAGCCACACUGGAACUGAGACACGGUCCAGACUCCUACGGGAGGCAGCAGUGGGGAAUUUUGGACAAUGGGGGCAACCCUGAUCCAGCAAUGCCGCGUGAGUGAAGAAGGCCUUCGGGUUGGUUAAA